RNAcentral lists this long non-coding RNA (1087 nucleotides) under Zalophus californianus (California sea lion). Its description in RNAcentral is "lncRNA (ENSZCAG00015019947.1)". The record is from RNAcentral. Lineage: Eukaryota; Metazoa; Chordata; Mammalia; Carnivora; Otariidae.
GGCUGGCCUUGGGCCUCCCUCCUCGCCCCCCAGGCCUCCCUCCCCCGCCACCCUGCUGCCGGCGCCCCACCUCGGCUAGCCUCCCCCUGGGCCAUCUUCCCCGGGCCGCUUCCACGCGGUGCUGUCCCAGGAGGGAGAACAGAAAGGGGAACUGAGGACCCCCUGCUGGGGAAGUCAGGCCGGGAAAUGCGCCUACUGAAGCGGGCUUGGGGGCGGAGAUAGGGGGAGACGUUGGAGACUUUAAAAGUGGGGAGGCGGGUGGGAAAGACGCGGCUUCUGCCCCUCCCCGCCCUCAUUUUGCCGCCCCCCCCCCCCCCGCGUUGCUGACCCUCCCCGGAGGGAGACCGUUCCCGCUGAGCCGUCCUGGGCAGGCGGGGUCCCACCCGGAGCCGCCCGGGGUGGGUUCCGGGGCCGCGCGGGCCUGGCUGGGCCAGGCCGGGGCGCUCUGCAGCUGUGGGUGCGCACGGUCCACCCCCCCGCCGCCGGCUCCCCGCCCGCGCCGCGGGGUCAAACCCAGCUAGGAGACAGGCUUUGGGACACGAAAGUGGAGUGUUCCAGCGUGACUCUGACUCUCGUCCUCCCCCCUGAACCUGGUUCUUAUGUCCUUGCUUUCCUGCCUGUCCGUCUCGAAAUACAGGUUUGUAAACUUCUCAAAUGAAGGGAUGGUGGCAGGGAAGGACCCGUGCACGAAGGAGCCCAGUGAAUGGAGGACACAGAUAGCCUGGCCACAGUCUCAGUUUCUGUUGGUAAAAAGCUGCCGCCAAGAGUAUGGUGGUGGCUGUUCGCCCUUCCCCGGGCACAGAGGUGGGAUGGAUGAGCACAAAGUUCCACGUGGCUGAGAAAUAGGGCCUCAAAGAGAGGAAGAGGGCCUCCAGGAAGGGCUUCCAAAGGCUGAAGGACUUUGAAAAUAGGGCACCGUCUCUCUCAUCCCUUCUGAGUCAAGUGUGAAGAGAGAAGGAAGAGGCGAAUCCCCAUUCACUCUAGAGCUCUGGGGGGCCCCUGCGAUGUUGGCUGGGCAGUUGGGGGCGCAGCUCCUUUGGCUCUAAGCCCACCUCACCAACAUUGACUGAACAGCCAUGUGUGCGAG